GGCGCCGGAGAAGCAGCUGUGGUAGCACGAGAACUGGCAGAACCAGUACUCCUCGCGGGGCACGCACUGGUCAAAGCACGCGUGGAAGCAGGGCGGCCUGAUGAUGAUGCCCGCCGCCGCCUCGUCACCGCCGGCGGCCGCGGUCACCACCACGGCUGCCGCCUCGGCCGCCAGCAGCAGCAACGCCAGUGGCAGUACCUUCGCCGAGGCGCCUCCAGCGAUGGUCGCCAUUGCCACGAGGAAUGGGGAGGAGGUAGGCCGGCGCGCAUGGAUGUGACGCAGCUGCGCGCCAUGGGAGUUAUGGAAGCUGAGGCGUGCGGGCGUGUAGGUCAUGGUUUCGGUGUGACGCUGACCGCCUCACGCUUCUCUCUAGUCCGGUUCGGUGUCAGGAUCAUUGGGUAAGUGGGCCAAACGGCCCAAACAAGGGCCUGGUAAGCACAUUAAAACUAGGGCAAUGGAGCGAGGUGGUGGGGAGCAUUUAUUUAUUUUUUUUGCCACGACUACGUCUUACAUAUUUAACAUUUAAUGUGUCUGACAUAUUGAUUAAAUACUAAAUCUAAAGGUGAUAAAAUUAUUAAAUAUCCUCAAUACGGGUAGCCAAGGCUAUACGUAAAGCUCAUACACGACCCGAUAAAACGCAAAGAAACUAAGACAUUGUCAUUUGAGAACCGAGGUAUAAGAUCAUAUGCUUAUAUACACACAUGUACAUUUAUCCUUAUAAAUGAAUACAUAUACAAAUAUAUUAUAUCUAUAUGAGCACUUUGAAAACUAGAAUAUCUUAACUAAAUGAAGGAUAUGGUUGAAAGUGGCGAAGAUUUAGAUUUUUAGACCAUGUGAUUUUUGUUAUUGCUAUUUAAGAAUAUAAAUUUGCUUUCGAAAUAUUAUGCGAUAGACUUUUAUAAUAAAUAUUUUACAUAAAAUUGCUUAGGAGCAUAAAAAGCAUACCGACAAAAUAAGAUAAUCCAUCAUAUAUCUUAAACACAUGGAUGUCUCCUUGUGGACAUCCUAUAAACAUCAGCAAUGGCAAAUAUGCAUUGCGAACUAUAUAUACAACAAUUUAAAUCUUACACUCGCUAAUUCUAGGGAAUGUUUUUGAACAUGUAUAAACAAACGAGUAUUUAUCAAUAGCAUGCUUGAGCCGCUAAACCAUUAUCCAACAAUGCCCUUUGUACUUUAGUAUACAGAUAUAGUUAGGAGCACAUAACUGAAGCACACAACUUCUCUUAUUCAACCUCAAGAGCAGAUUGAUGAAUCCAUCGCAACCAACGACAAGCAAUCAAUGCACUCAAUAUCUGGAUUCAUUCGUUUUCAUCAUUUAUCUAACAAAUAGUGAGUUUGGUCGUGUAUGGAGGAUACAUGUCCAAAGAUAUAAUAGAGAAAGUAGCCAAGUGUAGGGGAUGGAUAUUUUCAGCCCGCUCACUUAAACUGAACUGAGACUCAUGGAAAGGACAUGAGAGAGAAAACUAAAAUAUAUUAUUAUCUAAAUUUGAAUCUGAUAUAAAAUACGUGUUUCUAUAUGUCCAUAUAUCUCGUAUUAUUAAACAUAUAACAAAAUCUUAUAAGUCCACUUAUGUUGUUGGUUCUAAGCAAUAAUUUUGAAAGUUAAGUGAUGAGAUGAAUUUAAAGUUGAUCUUUGGACAACCAUCGUUUUUAUUUUGCUAGCACACACUUUAAUGACAUGGUAUCAAACAUACUUUCUCCUUCAGCUAUCUGUUGCGUAACAUCGAUUAGGAAUCAAUAAGUAAAUAACAAAUGACAAUAGUUAGUUUUCACUAUAUUUAUUGUUUAUUAUGUGUUAGGUACAACCUUGUAAUUUUACCAACAUAAAAAAUAUAGAACCUCUUAUUGUCAAAUACAAAUAAGUUUAACAUUAAUUAUUUUUUUGAUUAUAUAAUAGACGCACAAACACAUUACUGCACAUGCAAUACCACACUCACGUAUAUGCUCAAAGAAACAGAAACUAAUGACAUAUAUAUGAUUGUAAUGAAUUAUAUUGAAACCCACUUGCAUGAGUGUAAUAUUUAUGUGCACUGGAAUUGAACCCUCAUUGGCGGAGUCAUGCAACCAUUACUCACCACUUGUUUUUAUAUAAUUUCAAUUUAAAGUAAGCAUGUAUUAUCAUUCUAAUUUAAUACUAGGUUUUAUUCCGAGUGUUGGUACAUGAUCAUCUUGUCACUAUUUGGUUAAUCACUCCAUCGAUAGGUUGAAAUAUUCAUUCUCGAAGCUUAUGCUCCUCAAGCAUGUUUAAAUGUUUAUGCUCUUCGAGCAUGUUGAAGUGUUUAUGUUCCACGGGCAUAUUGAAUUGGUUAUGCUGAUCGAGCAUGUUGUGUUAUUUAUGCUCUAUGAGCAUAUUGAUUUAUUUACGCUUACUAGCCGUACUAUGCAGGAGUAAGUGAGUACUCACAAUGUUGCUCUAGAAGGAAUAGGGCGAAGCUUGUCGGCUACGUUUCUAUAAAUUAUUUCCCCAAGAUACCUAGGGACCAACACUCAAGUACUGGCAAUAGCUCAUAUUGUGGUCCCAAGACGUUAUUUAGAUUAAUGUAAUAUCCAUGUGCACUCUAAUAUGUUCAAGGGGCACUUUUGUAACUUCCCAGUGAAUCCAAGGCCUAUAAAAGCUCG
RNAcentral lists this long non-coding RNA (2619 nucleotides) under Oryza brachyantha (malo sina). RNAcentral describes it as "long non-coding RNA (OBRA_LNC000181)". Lineage: Eukaryota; Viridiplantae; Streptophyta; Magnoliopsida; Poales; Poaceae. The record is from RNAcentral.